Non-coding RNA from Pristionchus pacificus, 61 nucleotides. NCBI's taxonomy places the organism in Eukaryota, Metazoa, Nematoda, Chromadorea, Rhabditida, Neodiplogasteridae. The record is from Rfam.
UCUUCAUUUCACACACUCUCUCACCGGUCAGAGAGGCGAGAGAGUGUGUGAAAUGAAGAGA